GCCAGCGUGCCAGAAUCCGGCUAAAUGGGCUUGCCUCGAAAGCGAGUGUCCGCAAGGACGCGCAGGUUCAAAUCCUGCCGCUGGCG
RNAcentral lists this transfer RNA (86 nucleotides) under Candidatus Woesearchaeota archaeon. RNAcentral describes it as "tRNA-Ser". It matches the Rfam family "tRNA". Rfam says of the family: Transfer RNA (tRNA) molecules are approximately 80 nucleotides in length. Their secondary structure includes four short double-helical elements and three loops (D, anti-codon, and T loops). Further hydrogen bonds mediate the characteristic L-shaped molecular structure. tRNAs have two regions of fundamental functional importance: the anti-codon, which is responsible for specific mRNA codon recognition, and the 3' end, to which the tRNAs corresponding amino acid is attached (by aminoacyl-tRNA synthetases). tRNAs cope with the degeneracy of the genetic code in two manners: having more than one tRNA (with a specific anti-codon) for a particular amino acid; and 'wobble' base-pairing, i.e. permitting non-standard base-pairing at the 3rd anti-codon position. Lineage: Archaea; Nanobdellati; Candidatus Woesearchaeota. The record is from RNAcentral.